UAGCCCGUAACUCAGUUGACAGAGCAGUAGGAUGGUUUCCCACGGUCCUGGGUUCAAGUCCCAGCGGUUUGC
Molecule: non-coding RNA, 72 nt
Organism: Phthorimaea operculella (potato tuberworm)
Lineage: Eukaryota; Metazoa; Arthropoda; Insecta; Lepidoptera; Gelechiidae
Source: the annotation of a GenBank genome assembly